Molecule: ribosomal RNA, 492 nt
Filed under: uncultured bacterium
Lineage: Bacteria
Description: partial 16S ribosomal RNA
Rfam family: Bacterial small subunit ribosomal RNA
Source: RNAcentral
AUUGAACGCUGGCGGCAUGCUUUACACAUGCAAGUCGAACGGUAACAGGCCUUCGGGUGCUGACGAGUGGCGCACGGGUGCGUAAUGCAUCGGAACGUACCCAGAGGUGGGGGAUAACGCAGCGAAAGCUGUGCUAAUACCGCAUGUGAUCUGAGGAUGAAAGCGGGGGACCGAGCAGCAAUGUUUGGCCUCGCGCCUUUGGAGCGGCCGAUGUCGGAUUAGCUAGUUGGUGGGGUAAAGGCCUACCAAGGCGACGAUCCGUAGCUGGUCUGAGAGGACGACCAGCCACACUGGGACUGAGACACGGCCCAGACUCCUACGGAAGGCAGCAGUGGGGAAUUUUGGACAAUGGGCGCAAGCCUGAUCCAGCAAUGCCGCGUGCGGGAAGAAGGCCUUCGGGUUGUAAACCGCUUUUGGCAGGAACGAAACGGUGUCCGCUAAUACCGGGCGCUAAUGACGGUACCUGCAGAAUAAGCACCGGCUAACUACGUG